Molecule: RNA transcript, 8040 nt
Organism: Notolabrus celidotus (New Zealand spotty)
Lineage: Eukaryota; Metazoa; Chordata; Actinopteri; Labriformes; Labridae
Gene: tdrd6a
Gene name: tudor domain containing 6
Exons: 22
Source: RefSeq, a predicted model, not a curated record
AAAGACACUUCCGGGGCACGCGAGAAAAAGGGGGGCAAAAGGUUAGAGGUCUCUGGCACGCGCGGGUUAGACUAGUUAACGUUGGCCGAUGACUAACCGUUACUGUCCCGGGUUGUUGUUCCUUUAGUUUGUAGCGACAAUAAAACCUCUCUGUGAGCAGCUCGACGGAUCAUCUGUCACACCGGUGUCGGUCAGAGUGAUCGCUUUGUAACCGGGGCAGCUUUCUGGGAAAAGUUUGGGCGGUUGGAGUGACGUUAGCGCCGCCAUGCUCCCUGUUGAUCCGGUAAAGUUCACCAUAGCAGAGUCGGGACAUCGUGUGGAUUAAAACAGUUGCUUGCAGUUGAUUGAAAGUGCCGCUGUGACUUUCAGUUUCUUUCCAUGUGCCUGGGCCUCAUGAUGUCAGAUUUCCCUCUGCGUCUGCUCUCAGCAAGAUUUGUGGAAAUGCCAUCAUCCCUGUGAACAUCAAAAAUCAAAGCAGAGAUAACAUUCAGUGCACCCAAGCCUUGUUGAUGAGAGGUGACAGAUGAUCGGCUGCUUGAGUCCAUGAAACUGCCAAAAUGACUUCAAUCGUAGGACUCCCUACACAAGGGUCAGAUGUAACAAUUCUCAUAACAAAGGUCCACCUGCAUCCCCUUUGUGUGCUCGUAGAGUUCUGGGGAAAAUUUAAUCAGCAGAAAACAGGGGCUUAUGAGUGCCUGGCCAAAGACAUUCAAUCCCCUGGUGAAAUAUUCCAACAGUUUGAAGGAAAUUCUGGCGACCAGUGCCUGGUGCAGAUUGAUGGCACUUGGUACAGGUCCCGCAUAGUCUCAAGACAUGGCUCCAAAUACAGUGUGUUCCUCAUUGACAAAGGAGUAACAUUUAACACUUCCUCUAGUGAGCUUGCAUGGGGUCAGAAAAAGCACUUCUGCCUGCCACCUGAAGUGGAAUUUUGUGUGCUGGCUAAUGUAUUACCACUUUCAGCUGAGAACAGGUGGUCUUCAGUGGCUCUCGAGUUCCUGAGAUCGCUCUCUGGGAAGUCUGUGAAGGCACACGUGCAAGAUGUACUGUUGCUCCACAGAGCAUUUGUACUGCACAUCCCUUGCAUAUCCAAACAAAUGUAUGAGAUGGGAAUUGCCAAGAAGAUGUCCCCAGACAUCUUCCAGGACUUUGUCCUGAAGACACUGCAGUCCCACAGUGGAGCUGAAGUUUCUGCAGCGACUGGGCUCACUUCAGAGGGAGAAGGUGAGAGACUGCACAAAAAAGAGAUCUUCAUGUACCCAGAGCUGCAAGCAGGAACUGUGGAGACUGUUACAGUCACAGACGUCACAAAUCCCCACAGAAUAUUUUGCCAGUUGAAAGUAUUCUCUCAAGAGUUGAGGAAACUCUCUGAGCGGAUCACGCAGUGUUGUGAGGGAAGAAAGACCACAUGUCUUGUAGGUCCAGAUAUUAUCGGGUUUCCAUGUGCUGCAAGAGGAAGUGAUGGCAGGUGGUAUCGCUCUGUUUUACAGCAGGUACUCCCAACCAACCAAGUGGUUGAAGUGUUGAAUGUCGACUAUGGAACGAAACAGUUUGUUCAAGUGGAGAAUGUAAGACCACUGGCCACAGACUUCUUCAGGAUGCCAGUUGUGACUUAUAUGUGCUCCCUCCACGGAAUUGUUGACAAUGGGGUUGGUUGGACAGCCAGCCAAGUUGACUAUCUCAAAACCCUUCUUCUCAACAAGACAAUGAUUGCCAAAUUUGAGUACCAAAGCAUCUCUGAGGGUGUGUACUACGUCACACUCUACGGGGAUGAAAACACAAACAUUAACAAGUUGUUUGCUUCAAACAUGAGCUGUUCCCUGGAGAGUGAUAAAAUGCUUGGAGAUUAUGCUAUCCGUAACGUUCCAUCCAGACGACAGCAUCCACCUCAGCAAGACAGAUCUGAGAGAAAGAUGUCAGAAAAAGAAGAAGGGAAAGGAGUAGUGGAGAAGUUGCCAACUGAAGACCUCUCUCUCAACUCCUCACAUGUUGCAGUUAUUCAGCAUGUAUCUGACCCAUCAGAGUUCUGGAUCCAAACUCAGAACUAUGCAAAUGAGUUGGAUGAAAUAAUGGAUCGCAUCCAUUACUUGUACAAAGACUCAGUGAAUACAGAUGUAAGAAAUCCAACAGUUGGACUGUACUGCGCCUCUAAGGCAGAAGAUGGUGAUUUCUACAGAGCAGCUGUGACUGAGGUUGGUGAGACCAAAGUCAAAGUGUUUUUUGUUGAUUACGGGAACACUGAAGAUGUUGACAGGAGUAACAUCAGGAUGCUACCUGACGAGUUCAAAAAGCUGCCACGCCUUGCAUUGAAAUGCACACUGGCUGGUAUCAGGCCAAAAGGACAAAAAUGGAGCGAAAGCGCCUGUGAGGUUUUCAUCAAAGCAACAGAAGACAAAGCACUAAAUUUACAUGUUUCAGGAAAAUAUGAUAUGUGCUAUGUUGUCCAACUAGCAGAUCCUGAAGCACAGGGAGAGAGAGAUCUUGCUGCACUUAUGUGUAGUUCCGGUCAUGCGGAAAGUGCUGAGACACAGAGACAACCCAAAGUCAAAAUGCCUGUGCAAACUGCUGGUCUGCCAACAGGACAACUUCCAGAUGCCAGUCUCUCAGGUGCACACAUCAACCAUGGAACUUCUUUUCAGACCCAAAAUGCAGUCAAUGUUGCUGGUAAUCAAAGAAGACCUCCUGCCUUCAAGGAGCACAUGUUUCCUACAGGUAGUGUCCUAGAUGUCAGUGUGUCCUACAUCGAAAGCCCAAACGACUUCUGGUGCCAGCUAGUACAAAAUGCAGGACUCCUGAAAUUGCUCAUGUAUGACAUUCAGGCUUACUAUCAAGGCAGUGAGUUUGAACCUCCCGUGGAGACCACUUGUGUUGCUCGCCACCCUGACAAUAGAAAGUGGUACAGGGCCCUUGUGAUUCACAAACAUGAAACGCCUCAUGUGGAUGUCUUGUUUGUUGACUAUGGCCAAACAGAAACUGUUUCCCUCUAUGAUCUGAGGAGGAUCUGCCCACAAUUUCUCGCUCUGCAUGGCCAAGCUUUCCGAUGCAGCCUGAUGAACCCUGUUGACCCAACGUCUGCCACAAAUGAGUGGAAUGAAGAAGCAACAGCAAAGUUUCACACCUUUGUGGAGACUGCUUCAUCUAACUUUGUGACUUUGAAGUGCACCAUCUACGCUGUCAUGUACAGCGAGCAGAAGAUUGUUUUCAACAUCGUGGAUCUGGAAACUCCCUUUGAGAGUGUCUCCACCAGUAUGGUCAAUCUACUCAAAAGUGCAUCCCCCAAGAAAGAAGCAGGGCUGUCUUUCCGCCUGGACACAUACUAUUACUCGACACACAACGUCAAAACUGGAACAGAGGAACAGGUCACAGUUACAUGUGUAAACGAUGUCAGCAAGUUCUACUGCCAGCUUGAGAGGAAUGCUGAAGUGACAAAUGAUCUCAAGAUCAAAGUAAACAAUCUCUGUCACCAGCUUGAAAAUGUAAAGCUCCCAACAGACUUUGGAGCUUUGUGCUUUGCAAAGUACACUGAUGGACAGUGGUACAGAGGACAGAUCAAGGCCACACGGCCAGCCAUUUUUGUCCAUUUUGUGGAUUAUGGUGACACCAUUGAAGUGGAAAAAUCUGACUUGCUUCCAGUUCCCAGAGAGGCUAAUGACAUCAUGUCUGUGCCUGUGCAAGCACUUGUGUGUAGUCUCUCUGAUGUCCCUGCUGAUGUUCCCAGUGAGAUGAACAGCUGGUUUGAGACUAGUGUGACAGAUUGCAAAUUCCGGGCACUAGUUGUAGCCAGAGAACCGGAUGGCAAACUUCAAGUUGAACUGUAUCAUGGAAACACUCAGAUCAAUUCAAAAAUCAAGAAGAUGUUUCAAAUUGAGGUGCACCCAGAAACAAUGGUUGUCCAUCAGAGUUGUGCGAAACCAGUGCGCAAAUGGAGGGAUGCUGACAAGAUUGUGCCCUCUGAACCUAAGCCUUCUCGCAACCAUUGUGAAAAUGGUCAGAAAGACAAAGGUGCUCCAUUAAAACUGUAUCAACCUCCACACCAAAGGAAACCAUGGGAAAGAACUCAGCGUACAAGAAAUGGUUCUGAGCCAGCAGCUGCCAAAAUCAAACCAAGGAAAACGAGUCCUCCUACAGAAACCAAACAGCUUGUCAAGUCCACACCGUCUGCCACAGAAUCCCAGAAAGAAAGCAAUGUUGAGAACCUCCCUCAGCUUGCAGACCUGCCUCCAAAAUCGAUCACAUCAGGCAUGACAGCUGAAGUUUACGUCUCGCAAUGCAACAGCCCAUUGAGUUUUUAUGUGCAACUUGUCAGUGAGGAGGAUGAAAUAAUCUCGUUGGUGGAAAAGCUCAAUGAUCCCAAAUGUAUCCCCCAAAGCGACUCCAUCAAAGAUGUGCAGCCAGGGGACCUUGUUCAAGCAGAGUUUGCAGAGGAUUCAUCAUGGUACCGGGCCGUUGUUAGAGAAAUUUAUAGUACUGCAAUAGCUCUCGUCGAGUUUGUUGACUUUGGAAACACAGCAAUUGUGCCAGUUUCCAAGUUAAGCAAACUCCAGAAGUCUUUCUUGGAGCUGCCCAUGUACAGCACACACUGUAUGCUGAGCAACGUGGCGACUCUCGGAGAUGAGAAAGUGCUGGAUCCAGAAGUGGUGUCAGCUUUCAAAGAAGACAUCAGUGGAAUUGGAACAAAGGUUCUCAAGUGCACCUUCAGCAGUCAAUCAGGAUCCGUGUGGGAAGUCAGCCUUGAAGACAGUGGUGUAAACCUCACAUGCAAAAUGCCUUCUAGCUUUUCAACUGAUGGUCCUGAGAGGAACUUGGGCAGAGAUGAACAAACUGAGGGAAAACCAGCUCAGAACCCUGACAUCAGGUCAGUGCCAGAGGACUCACAGAUAUCACUGAAGUCUUGUUCUCUGUGUUACCCCCAACGAGAGUUCUCAGAGGGGCAAACGUUAGAAGUCUACAUCUCGUCUACAAAUGAUGACAAGACAUUCUGGUGUCAGCCGGCGGACUCAGAGGAGCUCGAUAAGAUAACAAUAAGUGUCACAGAAGUUGGAGAAGCAGUCGUCAAGAAAGAUUUGGACCCUGCUGCUUUUCCCCUCGGCAGUCCAUGCAUUGCUCAAUUUGCAGAUGAUAAUCUUUGGUACCGGGCAGAAGUCAUCAGCAAAGAAGAAAAUGAGCUGUUUGUUUCCUUUGUAGAUUACGGAAACAAGUCCAAAGUCAGUGUUUCAGAUGUGAGAGAAAUACCCCAAGACCUGAUAAAAAGUCCUCCACAGGCCUUUUUGUGCAAGCUUGAAGGCUUGGGUGCUUCAAACGGAACCUGGGACAGCAGUGCAGUGGAUGAGCUGUCGGUACUUACAGCAAACAAAGCCUUACAGCUGACUGUCACUCGAGUAACCAGCGAAGAAGAAGAAGGUAAAAUCACAUGCUUUGUUCAGAUCAUAUGUGAGGGCCAGAUAAUGAACGAGGCACUGAAAACCUGGUGGAGGCCCUCCAUGGCAGAAAAAAAACCUGAUGAAGUUGAAGUGACUGAUUCAUACAGACGAUCACCGCCAUGUGACCCCACUGUGGAAGAGACUGCACCACUGGACAAUCAAUCAGAGCACCAAAGCCAAGAAAUGGAAGCUUCUGUGCCUUGCAGUCAUCCUCCAGGAGACCACAGUGACGAGCAGAGUGCUGAAGAGUAUGUCCAUUCUCAGUCCCUUGAGGUGUCUGCAGAGGAAGGUGACACCAAGGGCUGUGAACCUCAAAUACUAAUAAAGACAGAGAGUCUGAGUCUUUCCAAGGAAGAGGUGAGUACCAUAACUACUAUGGCGGUGUCUGAAACCAAACCGACAGACGUUUUGACAUGUGAUGAUGGCAUAGAAGAAACCAUGUUUCCUCCUCAAACUGACAAAGACACUGAAGAGAAGGUUUCUUUUGGACCUGAUGACAUAAAUUCUCUGCUGUGUGAGAAGCCUGCAGAGGACAUAAAUGAGUCGGGGAUCAUAAUGGAUGACCUACAGUCUCUGCCUGGAGAGGUUGAUACCUACAGCAUUGAAAGCAGCUUAGAUAAAACAGUGCUAUAUCCUGAAAUGAACACAUCCACAGAAGAGGAGUUUGGCUCAAUGUUGGACACUUUGGGACUCGAUGACAUAAAAUAUGUGUCGGAUGAAAACCUGACAGAGGCAGAUGAAUCAGGGAUCACAGAAACUGUCUUGGAGUUCCUGCUUGAGGAGGUUCAUACCCAAAGCAUGGAAAGCAGCUUUGACACCAUGACUUUUUCAGCUCCACCAGAAGAAAAGGACAGAGAUGUCUCUGAUUCAAGGGAGAGUUCUCUAACCAGCACAACUACUGUGAAAAUGGUCCCUCGUGAAGCCGUUUGGCCCAAUGAGAGCCUUAGUCUGUUUGAGAACACUGACCUGACUUCUGACGACUUGAAGCAGAAUCGGACAGAAGUAGCGCUGCCCUCAUGUGGGCUCCCUGCAUCCGAUAUUCAGUCAGAACAGGAAUCUGAACCUGAAGGUGGUGUCUUAAAGGAACAGGUGUCAUGUCUGACCACAGAUGACAAGAAUGACUUGAUGACCGAAGUGGAGAAUACGGCUCAUCAUGAGGACAUGUUUUCAGAUAUUCAGUCAGAACAGGAAUCUGAACCUGAAGGUGGUGUCCUAAAGGAACAGGUGUCAUGUGUGACCACAGAUGACAAGAAUGACUUGAUGACCGAAGUGGAGAAUACGGCUCAUCAUGAGGACAUGUUUUCAGGCCUUCCCUCUGACACUAAUGAAGCUUCCAUUGUGGAACACCCCUGCACAGCUUCCUCUAAUGAUGUGGAUGCUGAGGUGCUAGAGUUGACCUGUUCUGUUGAAGAGGCGUGUUUGACAGAUGUCUGCACAGAUCAUAAUGAGUCAAGUGACAGAGAAGUCCCCAGUGCAGGAGAGGAUCGUCUCAGCUGUGUGACAGCAGAUGAAACGGUCCAAAGUGAGUCACUGCUGUCUAGCACAGAGCUUCAUUGUGAACAGUCAGCUGAAGCUCUAACAGAGAAUGAAAUACAAGUCCAAGAUGUCUCCCUUCAGAAUGAGACCUCGUUCAUCAAGUCUUUGUUUCAGAAUACAUCGAUAUCAGAAGACGAGACAGAGGCUCUGCAGGAAGAUCAACUUUCUGCUCUGCCGUCAGACUCUGAACCUCAAGUCUGCACAAUUCCCUUUCCAGAUUUGAACAACCUGGUAGAAGAGGUGACCUGUCUUGUUGGGGAGAUAUGUCUGACAGAUGUCUGCAGAGACCCACAUAAAGAAACCGAAACAGAAGACCGUGAGCAGCUGGUGCAAACAUCCCCUGAACAGAAAGAGGGGGAGAUUGGCCUUAUGGGUGGACUUAACAGUGGAAAGAUGGAUGACAUAGACUGUACCAGAGAAGUGCAUGUAGCCACACUGAUGUCAUUCUAAUAAUUCGUGAAGUCUUGAGUGUAUUGCCUGAUACCAUCCUGUUGUUUUGGAAACAGAAGAUUUCAGUGCAGGUGUGCUCGAGGAAGAAGUGUCAUCCUCUGAUGACAGUUUCGAGGAACAGCUGUCAAAGAUAACUCAUCUCUCUCUGAAGAUUAACGAUGGCUCUGCUGAUCUUCUGCCUGUCGUGCAGCAGUCAGAGGAGUAACAACUGUUAAUGUGUCUUUAUCAGACACCUCACAGAAAUGUUUUAAGUUUUCUGAAACAGGUCAAGUCUUUUGUUGUGUUUGUUACUCUUGAUUUAUUGGAUGUACCUGUCAAGUUAUCUUUAACUGUAGCCCGUUGGCUAAUUUCAUUAACAUAAGAAACACAUCGUUAAAGGUGCCUCUGUGCAGUGAGAGCUGGCUUUAUCUUUAGAGUUUGUCCUUCAUGUCCAUUUUCCCACUCAGCCUUACUUUGAGCACUCUUGUUACAGAUGAUCUGUUCUGAUAAACUGCCACAAACUUGUUCAAGAAUGACUGAAUCUUUGGUUGAAUUUAAAAUAUGCAGCAGUUUGAGAGUUUUCUGUGUUUUGUGUGGAAACAUGCAUGCUGUUAAGCUGUAUUUAUGUUGGCACAAUAAAUAUGGUUACUGAUCCAGA